ACCGCCCGCCGCCUCUCCUACGUACAGCCGGGCUCUCGGGUGCCCCGGGAGAGUGCCGCGCCCGGGCGGGCAGAGCUCGGCUUUUAUUUAUGAGAGCGUUCUGCAUCGCCGCUGUGUCCUGCCGGCACGGUCGCACCGCGCUCUGGACCGCGGGCAUUGCGUGACUGAAGCCAUGGGCUGGGGGAUGCAGCGAAGAGCUCGCAGCGCUGACAGAAAGCGGGGGACGGGGGCGCUGGGGGCUGGUGGCGGUCUACAGGUGCCAGUGCACCACACGGCAGGGACAGGCGGCCUGAAGACAUCCAUGGAUUCAUCAUGAACUUAUGACAUGCUUUUCAGUCCCCUGAAUUACGGCAGGGAUUUCUUUAUGGCUUCCCUUCAUCUCUGUAAGUCUGAAAUGGAAGUGUGCUUCUGACAGUGAAAAAUGUCAUAACUCUGCAUGCCUGGCAAGGGGGAAGAACAACUGACAGACACCUUGCAAAGUGAAAACAAACGAGGAGCUCUAAUUUAAAAGCACAGAGAGACUCGGAGCCAGCAGGGAGCUCCUGAUGACAUGCAGAAGAGGGGCAGCUGAGCCGCUGUGGAUGGAAGAGCUGUUUCUACUGCAUUCCCCUGUCUUAGCCUGAGGGCCAUCAGCUAUGGUGGAAGAGCUCCCAUGCUGAGCUGCAUGGCACAGCCACACCAGCAGGUUUUGUUCUAGCUGAAGGGGAUACCAAAAGGGUCUGUUCUCCAAGGUGGAUUUUUUUCAUGUUUAGAUUGAGUAUGAAUGAAGAAAACCAGAUAAGAAACACUAUAUAAAAAACUAUGCAAAAAAGCGUAAUACAAAAAAUGUAGCAUUUAUAGGUAUACAUUUCUUUACAGAGAUUAAGGACUUUGUCAUGAAGGCUAGCCUCUCCUUGUUUCCUGGACAUACCCUACAGCUAUUUUGGGCUGCUGAUUGAAGGUUACUGUCACAGAGUGCUGGUCCAGCUCUCCUUCCUGGCUCCAUCACUGACCUGUGCCGUGAUCCUCAGGAAGCUACGGCUUUACUCAUUUCUCACCACGGUACCUUCUCCAGUGACUCACGGGUGCCGCAGUCCUGUCCCAGCCUCAAUCCCUAUGGAGUGGUGAAGCUGCAGGGGCAACUCUGCAGCAGAGCCUCACCCUGCUUUCUCCCCAGUCAUUAUACCACACAGAUGCUCUCAGUUGCCCCAAAGACUGCAGUCUGUGGCACAGAAUGAAUACUGAAUAACAUCCUAGGAUUCAUCAUGUAUGAAUUAGUGAUGGGAGUGACAGGUAGCAAACCAUCUUGUACCUCAUUUUGACAGAAGCCCCAGUUUUUUGGUAUUUCAAAGCUGCCUCACAUGCUGAAUGGGAGCACUGGGCACAGGGUGACAGGACAGAGGUAUUAGAACGCCUCUGCAGGAGUUUUUCACUUCACGCUUCAUUCCUGUGAAGCUUCAGUGACUCCAGAGAGUCAGGAGCAGCCCUCUCAACAUAAGCUCAGUUUUAAGCCAGCGUUUGCCUGGUUUUUUGCUGAAGUGCUUUACAUAUUUUUUUUAGUUAGCAUUCUCUGUGGUUGUAUUUCACCCACCACAUAUACUAUAGGAUCAUAGAAUUGUUCCAGUCAGAAAAGACCUUUAAAACCAUUGAGUACCACUGUUAAUUGUACAUAUGCAUAUAUAAUUCAUGGGGCUCAAAGAUGCUACAUCAAUUUAAAACUUGUAGGUCUUCUUAAUGAUAAGCAGUGAAUUUAAAUCACAGAAUGUGAAUUGCAAGACUUUGGCUGGCACAGUGCCUGCAUCUAGGCCCCAGCUGGUAAUGGGAGAAAGUCAGCAGGCUUUUAGAAAGCAAUAAAUAAUUACCUUGCCAGGAUCUAGAAUUUAAGGAUGAGUGCAGGGAGGCCCGGAGCAAUAACAUGUCCAUGGGGAAAACAGGCCCACUACCUGAAAAGUUACUUUGAACACAGCAGUUACUUUUUACAUGAUUAGGUGUGCUACUGCACAGUUAAACUCUUCAAUGCAUUACAGUGCCAGAAAAUGGAGGAGUGCUGUUUUCUGGAUUACUAAAUCAAUGGGCUCAUUAAGAGAGACGUAAGUAGUGUCAGAUCUCCACUGAUACCUUAAAAUCUGCUUAGGGAGCCACUGGGACUGGAAAAAGAGAAGAAUGAAAACCAGUAAAAAAAUUCAGAAAAAGAAAUGGGGAAUUAAAGAAUCCCUCUUUAUUUUCCAUGUGAGCAUUCUUGCUGUAACACGUAUCAGUGGCUUGUACAGGUAAAGGGGAAAAGUGUCUGGAUCUCUAACAUUUGCCACUUGUUUGUAUUUGUCUCCCAACAGGUCCAUGUCCUCUAAUACCACAUAUUUCCUUCCUCCCUCUCCAGCUCAUGCAGCAGCAGCAGCUAAGACCUCUUUGGAACCAUUUGCUUUGUUACUUCUACCUCUGUUUUUCCAGGUCAGACCAUUUUCCAUAUCCUUUCCUCAAACCAAACUUUCCCCAGCUACCGAGGCAUAAAGACCAGAGAUGUGCAGUUCAGCAUGAUCAGAGUCUGGCCAGCCCUCACUCAAGACAGCCCAAAUUUGGGGAUAUCUCAGGGAAAAAAGUUCUUAAAGGUAUCAAAAAAAUGCAAUAUAUGAAAGGAAGAGUAAAGAGCAGCAAGUAGAAGAUGAGGGAUAAAGUGAAGAAACUCUAUCAGACUGUCAUCUCCACACAGGCUUCAUGCUCUCCAGAAACUGCCCGAUUAACACAUGCAAAACUGUCACCAGCAAAAUCUGGUAUCAGUGAAAUGUACAGACAGCAAAGUUCAUCAUGACUAGGAGAUGGGCAUGUCCCUGUAAUGUAUAUCUCCAGCCUCCUGGGAGAUAAUAAACUGUCAUUACUGUAUUUUAUUGGAUGAAGAGCUGCAGUACUGGGAAGUGUUCAGUGAGCAGAACAAGACCUGUUUCCCAAAAUAGAGACCUGGACUCUAUUUUCAGAAAAUUAUGUCUAAACUCCCCAAAUUUAUAGAAUUUGAAAGUGCCUGCUGCAAAGCUGUAUAAUUUAAGUAACCAGAACGUCCUCUAAAUCUCCAAGAAACUGCACCAAACGAGCUGAGGUACAGAAUCUUGAAUAGGUAACAAUCAUGCCCUUCCAUGGCACAGAAGUGGAGGAAAGAAGAAAACAGCCACUAACUUUUCAUAUGUUUAAACACUGGCUCAGUCUAGCCAAAACAGGAAGAAGUGUCAUUUCAAGAGCCUGGAAGACCGUGUGUUAGACCUGAGACCUCCUAAGUGAGGACUUCAUGAGGAGGAAUACUUGUCCUCACUGGUAACAUCCUUGCAGCAAAGGCCGACAACUUCUCUGCAUGUGAAAGGAAUCCUGUGGCCACUGUGAGGUUUGCUUUUAUCACUGUCCCUCAGCCCCAGCAUCCCUUCUGGGUGCAACUUCAGAGAGGAAAAAAAAGAAAUUCAGCAAGAAAUGGAUGUUCGGGUUGGGCAAAACAAUCAUGGGGUUUCUGAAAUCAAAUAAACCAUCUGAACUCAGAAAGGAUGAGGAUAGAGUAGCUCCUGCAAGAUUUUUGUAGAGUUUUUUGUUGUCAAAACAACUUUUCUGUAUAAAUGGCUUAUAUUUUGCUGUUUUAAAGAGCAAAAUAGGAAAAUAACAGUAACCCUCCCAAAAUGAAGCAGAACAUGAUCUACACCCCAAAGAAAAUUAUUGAAUGUUUUCCAGUUCAGUCAACAGAUUGAAAAAAAUCAAUUCUCUGCACACUUUCUCUGUGUUAUCCAACUGUUCUUCCUAAUGCAAAACAAAAGGAUUACAGCAAAAUAAGGAAACAACUGAGAAACUGAAAGAGGGGAAAUAUCCAUCAUUUGUCUUAAAGCUAAAUACAAAUUAAAAAUGAAAGCACUGCAUGUAGUCCCCCAAGGGACAGAUUUACUUCUAAUUAAUAAUAUGUUAGUGCCCUAGCCCUCUGCAUUUAAAACCCAAAACCUUUUAAUCCUGCUGGAACAGUAUAGCUAGAACCUCUAAGAAUUAACCCAGUCCAAUCCCAGCUUUACUUGCACUGUAAUUACUGGAAAUGUUUAGAGUUUAUUUUCUACCAUAUACUGAACUGAAGAGGAAGGUAAAAAAAAAAAUCCCAUAAACAGGAUAGAUGGACAUACAAUCAUUUUUCUUUGGUUAUUUGCAGUAUCUGAGGCAUAAUAAAAACUCAAAUUUUAUUUCUAAUUGUACUAGUUAAGUUUUUCUACUUCAAAAAUAAAUGAAAAUAAAAUCUUG
Corvus hawaiiensis (hawaiian crow) is the source of this 4230-nucleotide long non-coding RNA. RefSeq lists it as uncharacterized. Lineage: Eukaryota; Metazoa; Chordata; Aves; Passeriformes; Corvidae. The transcript has 2 exons. The record is from RefSeq and is a predicted model, not a curated record.